Anas platyrhynchos (mallard) is the source of this 227-nucleotide long non-coding RNA. RefSeq lists it as uncharacterized. The record is from RefSeq and is a predicted model, not a curated record. NCBI's taxonomy places the organism in Eukaryota, Metazoa, Chordata, Aves, Anseriformes, Anatidae.
CAGGGAGAGGAGGAGGAGGAGGAGGAAGAGCCCCCGCCCCCCCCGGACAAGGGAGAGGCCCCCGACCCCACGGCCUCCAUGCUGGCUGACUUCAUCGACUGCCCCCCCGACGCCGCCCCGUGACCCCGCCGGGACCCCCCCCAACCUCAGAGCCCCCCCAGAGCCCCUCCCCUGCCCCUCACCAGACCCCGACCCCCCCAGAACAAAAUAAAGUUUCUAGAACCUUC